AUGCUUGCUUUGGCAGUGUAUAUCCUAAAAUCAGAACACUACAGAGAGGAUUAGCAUGGUCCUUUUGCAAGGAAUAUAUGCAAAUCCAUGGAGUACUUAAAAUAAAA
This is a small nuclear RNA of Apodemus sylvaticus (European woodmouse), 107 nucleotides long. The record is from RefSeq and is a predicted model, not a curated record. Lineage: Eukaryota; Metazoa; Chordata; Mammalia; Rodentia; Muridae.